UGANAGUUNGNGAUCGCAAGACCUUGCGCUAUUGGAGCGGCCGAUGUCCGAUUAGCUAGUUGGUGAGGUAAAGGCUCACCAAGGCAACGAUCGGUAGCUGGUCUGAGAGGACGACCAGCCACACUGGGACUGAGACACGGCCCAGACUCCUACGGGAGGCAGCAGUGGGGAAUUUUGGACAAUGGGCGAAAGCCUGAUCCAGCCAUGCCGCGUGCGGGAAGAAGGCCUUCGGGUUGUAAACCGCUUUUGGCAGGAACGAAACGGCGCGGGCUAAUACCUCGCGUUAAUGACGGUNNNNGCAGAAUAAGCACCGGCUAACUACGUGCCAGCAGCCGCGGUAAUACGUAGGGUGCGAGCGUUAAUCGGAAUUACUGGGCGUAAAGCGUGCGCAGGCGGCUUCGUAAGACAGAUGUGAAAUCCCCGGGCUUNNNNCUGGGAACUGCAUUUGUGACUGCGCGGCUCGAGUCUGUCAGAGGGGGGUGGAAUUCCACGUGUAGCAGUGAAAUGCGUAGAGAUGUGGAGGAACACCGAUGGCGAAGGCAGCCCCCUGGGACAAAACUGACGCUCAUGCACGAAAG
Molecule: ribosomal RNA, 578 nt
Filed under: uncultured beta proteobacterium
Lineage: Bacteria; Pseudomonadati; Pseudomonadota; Betaproteobacteria
Description: bacterial SSU rRNA
Rfam family: Bacterial small subunit ribosomal RNA
Source: RNAcentral